UACGUAGGGUGCGAGCGUUAAUCGGAAUGACUGGGCGUAAAGGGCGCGCAGGUGGACGGGAAAGUCGAGUGUGAAAUCCCCGAGCUUAACUUGGGAAUUGCGCUCGAAACUACGUGGCUCGAGUGUGGCAGAGGAAGGUGGAAUUCCACGUGUAGCGGUGAAAUGCGUAGAGAUGUGGAGGAACACCGAUGGCGAAGGCAGCCUUCUGGGCCAACACUGACGCUCAUGCACGAAAGCGUGGGGAGCAAACAGG
RNAcentral lists this ribosomal RNA (253 nucleotides) under uncultured bacterium. RNAcentral describes it as "partial 16S ribosomal RNA". It matches the Rfam family "Bacterial small subunit ribosomal RNA", at positions 524 to 776 of the family's 1533-position model. The record is from RNAcentral.